CCUACGGGAGGCAGCAGUGAGGAAUAUUGGUCAAUGGGCGCGAGCCUGAACCAGCCAAGUAGCGUGAAGGAUGACUGCCCUACGGGUUGUAAACUUCUUUUAUAAAGGAAUAAAGUGAGGCACGUGUGCCUUAUUGUAUGUACUUUAUGAAUAAGGAUCGGCUAACUCCGUGCCAGCAGCCGCGGUAAUACGGAGGAUCCGAGCGUUAUCCGGAUUUAUUGGGUUUAAAGGGAGCGUAGAUGGUUUGUUAAGUCAGUUGUGAAAGUUUGCGGCUCAACCGUAAAAUUGCAAUUGAUACUGGCAGUCUUGAGUACAGUUGAGGUAGGCGGAAUUCGUGGUGUAGCGGUGAAAUGCUUAGAUAUCACGAAGAACUCCGAUUGCGAAGGCAGCUUACUAAACUGCCACUGACAUUGAUGCUCGAAAGUGUGGGUAUCAAACAGGAUUAGAUACCCGAGUAGUC
Molecule: ribosomal RNA, 460 nt
Filed under: uncultured bacterium
Lineage: Bacteria
Description: partial 16S ribosomal RNA
Rfam family: Bacterial small subunit ribosomal RNA
Source: RNAcentral